UUCGAUUAGAGUUUGAUCCUGGCUCAGGACGUACGCUGGCGGCGUGCUUAACACAUGCAAGUCGAACGGUGAAGAGAAGCUUGCUUCUUGGAUCAGUGGCGAACGGGUGAGUAACACGUGAGCAAUCUGCCCUUGACUCUGGGAUAAGCGUUGGAAACGACGUCUAAUACCGGAUACGACCCUCGGAGGCAUCUCCUGGGGGUGGAAAGAAUUUUGGUCAAGGAUGAGCUCGCGGCCUAUCAGCUAGUUGGUGAGGUAAUGGCUCACCAAGGCGACGACGGGUAGCCGGCCUGAGAGGGUGACCGGCCACACUGGGACUGAGACACGGCCCAGACUCCUACGGGAGGCAGCAGUGGGGAAUAUUGCACAAUGGGCGAAAGCCUGAUGCAGCAACGCCGCGUGAGGGACGAAGGCCUUCGGGUUGUAAACCUCUUUUAGUAGGGAAGAAGCGAAAGUGACGGUACCUGCAGAAAAAGCACCGGCUAACUACGUGCCAGCAGCCGCGGUAAUACGUAGGGUGCAAGCGUUGUCCGGAAUUAUUGGGCGUAAAGAGCUCGUAGGCGGUUUGUCGCGUCUGCUGUGAAAACCCGAGGCUCAACCUCGGGCCUGCAGUGGGUACGGGCAGACUAGAGUGCGGUAGGGGAGAUUGGAAUUCCUGGUGUAGCGGUGGAAUGCGCAGAUAUCAGGAGGAACACCAAUGGCGAAGGCAGAUCUCUGGGCCGUAACUGACGCUGAGGAGCGAAAGCAUGGGGAGCGAACAGGAUUAGAUACCCUGGUAGAAUCACUAGUGAAUUC
This 795-nucleotide ribosomal RNA is filed under the name uncultured Lysinimonas sp. RNAcentral describes it as "bacterial SSU rRNA". It matches the Rfam family "Bacterial small subunit ribosomal RNA", at positions 1 to 809 of the family's 1533-position model. Lineage: Bacteria; Bacillati; Actinomycetota; Actinomycetes; Micrococcales; Microbacteriaceae. The record is from RNAcentral.